Molecule: ribosomal RNA, 216 nt
Filed under: uncultured bacterium
Lineage: Bacteria
Description: partial 16S ribosomal RNA
Rfam family: Bacterial small subunit ribosomal RNA
Source: RNAcentral
UACGUAGGGGGCAAGCGUUUGUCCGGAAUCAUUGGGCGUAAAGCGCGUGUAGGCGGUUCAGUAAGUCUGCUGUGAAAGUCCAGGGCUCAACCCUGGGGAUGCCGGUGGAUACUGCUGGGGCUAGAGUACGGAAAGAGGCGAGUGGGAAUUCCCGGUGUAGCGGUGAAAUGCGCAGAUAUCGGGAGGAACACCAAUGGCGAAGGCAGCUCGCUGGGG